Molecule: ribosomal RNA, 1000 nt
Filed under: uncultured organism
Description: bacterial SSU rRNA
Rfam family: Bacterial small subunit ribosomal RNA
Source: RNAcentral
GGGGGAUAUUGCGCAAUGGGGGCAACCCUGACGCAGCAACGCCGCGUGAAGGAUGAAGGUUUUCGGAUUGUAAACUUCUUUUAUUAAGGACGAAACUUGACGGUACUUAAUGAAUAAGCUCCGGCUAACUACGUGCCAGCAGCCGCGGUAAUACGUAGGGAGCAAGCGUUGUCCGGAUUUACUGGGUGUAAAGGGUGCGUAGGCGGCUUUGCAAGUCAGAUGUGAAAUCUAUGGGCUCAACCCAUAAACUGCAUUUGAAACUGUAGAGCUUGAGUGAAGUAGAGGCAGGCGGAAUUCCCCGUGUAGCGGUGAAAUGCGUAGAGAUGGGGAGGAACACCAGUGGCGAAGGCGGCCUGCUGGGCUUUAACUGACGCUGAGGCACGAAAGCGUGGGUAGCAAACAGGAUUAGAUACCCUGGUAGUCCACGCUGUAAACGAUGAUUACUAGGUGUGGGGGGUCUGACCCCUUCCGUGCCGGAGUUAACAUAAUAAGUAAUCCACCUGGGGAGUACGGCCGCAAGGUUGAAACUCAAAGGAAUUGACGGGGGCCCGCACAAGCAGUGGAGUAUGUGGUUUAAUUCGAAGCAACGCGAAGAACCUUACCAGGUCUUGACAUCCAACUAACGAAGUAGAGAUACAUUAGGUGCCCUUCGGGGAAAGUUGAGACAGGUGGUGCAUGGUUGUCGUCAGCUCGUGUCGUGAGAUGUUGGGUUAAGUCCCGCAACGAGCGCAACCCUUGCUAUUAGUUGCUACGCAAGAGCACUCUAAUAGGACUGCCGUUGACAAAACGGAGGAAGGUGGGGACGACGUCAAAUCAUCAUGCCCCUUAUGACCUGGGCUACACACGUACUACAAUGGAUGUUAACAGAGGGAAGCAAGACAGCGAUGUGGAGCAAACCCCUAAAAACAUUCUCAGUUCAGAUUGCAGGCUGCAACCCGCCUGCAUGAAGAUGGAAUUGCUAGUAAUCGCGGAUCAGCAUGCCGCGGUGAAUACGUUCCCG